RNAcentral lists this ribosomal RNA (292 nucleotides) under uncultured Acidobacteriota bacterium. Its description in RNAcentral is "uncultured Acidobacteria bacterium partial 16S ribosomal RNA". Lineage: Bacteria; Pseudomonadati; Acidobacteriota. The record is from RNAcentral.
GGACUACUGGGGUAUCUAAUCCUGUUUGCUCCCCUAGCUUUCGUGCAUCAGCGUCAGUUAUGGUCCAGUGAGCCGCUUUCGCCACAGGUGUUCCUCCUGAUAUCUACGCAUUUCACCGCUACACCAGGAAUUCCACUCACCUCUCCCACACUCAAGCCCGGCAGUUUCUCCUGCAGGCUCCGAGUUGAGCCCGGAGUUUUCACAAGAGACUUACCAAACCGCCUACGCACCCUUUACGCCCAAUAAUUCCGAACAACGCUCGCCCCCCUCGUAUUACCGCGGCGGCUGGCAC